Molecule: ribosomal RNA, 358 nt
Filed under: uncultured Cortinarius
Lineage: Eukaryota; Fungi; Basidiomycota; Agaricomycetes; Agaricales; Cortinariaceae
Description: eukaryotic LSU rRNA
Rfam family: 5.8S ribosomal RNA (bases 1-122)
Source: RNAcentral
UCGAUGAAGAACGCAGCGAAAUGCGAUAAGUAAUGUGAAUUGCAGAAUUCAGUGAAUCAUCGAAUCUUUGAACGCACCUUGCGCUCCUUGGUAUUCUGAGGAGCAUGCCUGUUUGAGUGUCAUUAAUAUAUCAACCUCUACAACUUUUGUUUGUUGAGUUGUUGGAUGUGGGGGCUUUUGCUGGCUUCUCUCUGAGGUCAGCUCCCCUGAAAUACAUUAGCGGAACGAUCCCGUUCAUUGGUGUGAUAACUAUCUACGCUAUUGACGUGAAGUAGUUUGGCUUAUAACAGUCCAUUGACUUGGACAAAAUUUUCAUUAAUGUGACCUCAAAUCAGGUAGGACUACCCGCUGAACUUAA